RNAcentral lists this long non-coding RNA (2037 nucleotides) under Monodelphis domestica (gray short-tailed opossum). RNAcentral describes it as "lncRNA (ENSMODG00000043458.1)". The record is from RNAcentral. Lineage: Eukaryota; Metazoa; Chordata; Mammalia; Didelphimorphia; Didelphidae.
AUUGAAUAGGGAGACUUCCUCUCCUCUACCUUGGGAACAGUUUGCUGUGUGUUUCUUUAUAAAAAUUACUUUAUAAAUGUUCCUUAUUAUUGUCACCAUCACUUUUCCCCUGAAUGCCUUUCCCCUCUCCCUUCCUCCAUCUAAAUCUUGCCCAACCAUCAAAGCCCUGCUUUCAUCCCACCUCCUCCAGGAAGCCUUCUCUGACUCUCCUGGCCUGUAGAACUGCAGGAUCCUAGGGAUGAAAGGAGCUUCAGAGGCAUCUAAUCAGCCUAUCAUUGCCUUCUCCAGGUUCUCAGUUUCCCUGUCUGUAAAAUGAAGGUGUUGGAACCGAACCUCUAGCCAUAAGGUCAGUCUGUCCUGCAUUAUUCUCUCAUUGUUCCAUUUGUCCAUAUUGUCUCCUGGUUGGGCAGUGAGCAAGUCUCUUCCCUCUGUGUGUCUUUCCCUGAUACUUCCUCUUAGCCUAGCCCAGGACUUCCCAGGGACUUCAGUAAAGAUUUGGUGUUGAAUUCAUGGAAAGUCUGUGUGAUCUUGGGCAAGUCCCUUGCCCUUUCUGGGUCUCCAUCUCCCCAUUUGUAGAAUGAGGGAGUUGGGUUUGAUUUGCUCCUUCUAGUACUAAAUCCCACAAUUCCAGAACCUUACAGGUAAACAAGUGGCUAUUGUCAACUACAGAAUGUAGACAGGACUGAAUGCUUGAAUCUGCUCGUUGUUCUUCUGUCUCGGUCGAUCAUCAGGAGAUUCGAGGCAAACACAAGAGGAAGUACUCUUCAGUUUGCUAGAAAUAGCAGUGAUUUUGGAAUGACAAGAUCUAGGUUCAAAUCCUACCUCUAAUGACUGAUUCUACCUUCCUACCUGUUGGAUCUAGGGCAUGUCACUUAGCAUCCCUGGACCUGUUUUCUCAUCUCAUAAGGACUAGAUCACUUUUACAGCCAAUCAUGGUUUUCCAGACUACUUCCAGGGAAGAGCAACAUGGCUUUUGGAUGAGCUUAGAGUCACCAACCCUCAGCUUUCCAGUGAGAUGGAGGACCAUUGGUUUCUAAUAAUUUUAUGCCCUCCACAUCCGGAGGUAUUCUCAUCUGUCCUAACGAUCCCCUAGCCCUUGCCAUCUACAUGCUGCUUCAUGUAGGGCUUCAGAAUUUUCCAUGCCCCCUACAGCUGACCUCUUAUAAUGUGUUCUCUGUCUUAAUGAGAAUAUAAGCUUUUUGAGGACAGGGAGUGGCUAAUUUUUUGUAUCCUCAGUCCUUGGAACACAGAAAGCAAUUAGUGAAUGCUUUUUCAUUCCUUUAUUCACUCAUUCUUAGCCUCAGUUUCUUCAUCUGGAGAUUGGGGAUGAGAACAUCUACUUCCCAACAUGGUUGUGAUUAUCAAAUGGAAUAAUAUAUCCCAAGCAUUUUGAAAACAUUAAAGUGUUCAUUAUUAUUGUUGAUUGUCAUCGUCAUUGUUGUCAUCAUCACUCUACUUACCCCAAUCAGUACCACGUAGUGCAAUUUGCUUCCAUUAUUAUUCCAGUAGUGGGCAUGGACAACACUGAGCCCAGGUGUUCUCUAGCCUUCAAUUCACUUAUAACCAAUGGCUUAUAUUUGUGAAACAACUGGUGGAGUUGGGAUUCCAUUCUGGGACCGGUGAGAUGCCACUCUACAUCUAGGCUCAGUCUGUGCCUGGGCUCUGGGUUAACCAAGUCUUAGCUGUCCAGCUUUCUCUGCCAGAUUCUCAGAAGUGCCUGUGUUGUUGGGUUUUUUGUUAUUACCCACCUUCCCUGCCAACCCCAGAAGAGACAGACGAAUGAAUGGAUGUUUGCAAAAACUUUUCCUCAUUCCUGGAAUUGACUCUAACCACUGGAAUAUUUGGGCAAGAAACCAGUGUUGAGAGCAGUGACUGCUUCUAGAAUGUUUAAAGAGUGAUUCCUCUUGGAGCAGCUAGGUGACAGUGGUUUAGAGAGCCAGACCUUCAAAUCUGGUCUUAGACACUUCUAGCUGUGUGACCCUGGGCAAGUCACUUAAUCCCAAUUGAGAAAUGGUGAACGGGUUAGUUUUGGAAAAA